This 449-nucleotide ribosomal RNA is filed under the name uncultured bacterium. Its description in RNAcentral is "bacterial SSU rRNA". It matches the Rfam family "Bacterial small subunit ribosomal RNA", at positions 354 to 796 of the family's 1533-position model. The record is from RNAcentral.
GUGGGGAAUAUUGGACAAUGGGCGAAAGCCUGAUCCAGCCAUGCCGCGUGUGUGAAGAAGGUCUUCGGAUUGUAAAGCACUUUAAGUUGGGAGGAAGGGCAGUAAGUUAAUACCUUGCUGUUUUGACGUUACCGACAGAAUAAGCACCGGCUAACUUCGUGCCAGCAGCCGCGGUAAUACGAAGGGUGCAAGCGUUAAUCGGAAUUACUGGGCGUAAAGCGCGCGUAGGUGGUUUUGUAAGUUGGAGGUGAAAUCCCCGGGCUCAACCUGGGAACUGCCUCCAAAACUACUGAGCUAGAGUACGGUAGAGGGUAGUGGAAUUUCCUGUGUAGCGGUGAAAUGCGUAGAUAUAGGAAGGAACACCAGUGGCGAAGGCGACUACCUGGACUGAUACUGACACUGAGGUGCGAAAGCGUGGGGAGCAAACAGGAUUAGAAACCCGGUAGUCC